RNAcentral lists this ribosomal RNA (275 nucleotides) under uncultured bacterium. RNAcentral describes it as "partial 16S ribosomal RNA". It matches the Rfam family "Bacterial small subunit ribosomal RNA", at positions 79 to 353 of the family's 1533-position model. The record is from RNAcentral.
CUAAGUUUGAUGGCGACCGGCGCACGGGUGAGUAACACGUAUCCAACCUGCCGAUGACUCGGGGAUAGCCUUUCGAAAGAAAGAUUAAUACCCGAUGGCAUAGUUCUUCCGCAUGGUAGGACUAUUAAAGGAUUUCGGUCAUCGAUGGGGAUGCGUUCCAUUAGGUUGUUGGCGGGGUAACGGCCCACCAAGCCUUCGAUGGAUAGGGGUUCUGAGAGGAAGGUCCCCCACAUUGGAACUGAGACACGGUCCAAACUCCUACGGGAGGCAGCAUG